GAUGAACGCUAGCGGCAGGCCUAAUACAUGCAAGUCGAACGGAUGUAGCAAUACAUUAGUGGCGUACGGGUGCGUAACGCGUAAACAAUCUACCUCAUACUGGGGGAUAGCCCUGGGAAACCGGGAGUAAGCCCGCAUGGUACCACGAGAUUUCAUGGUUUUGUGGUUAAAGAUUUAUCGGUAUGAGAUGAGUUUGCGUCUGAUUAGUUAGUUGGCGGGGUAACGGCCCACCAAGACGAUGAUCAGUAGGGGCUCUGAGAGGAGCGGCCCCCACACUGGCACUGAGACACGGGCCAGACUCCUACGGGAGGGCAGCAGUAGGGGAAUAUUGGGCGAAUGGAGGCAACUCUGACCCAGCCAUGCCGCGUGCAGGAAGACGGCGCUCAGCGUUGU
RNAcentral lists this ribosomal RNA (393 nucleotides) under uncultured bacterium. Its description in RNAcentral is "bacterial SSU rRNA". It matches the Rfam family "Bacterial small subunit ribosomal RNA", at positions 28 to 426 of the family's 1533-position model. The record is from RNAcentral.